Molecule: long non-coding RNA, 991 nt
Filed under: Gallus gallus (chicken)
Lineage: Eukaryota; Metazoa; Chordata; Aves; Galliformes; Phasianidae
Source: RNAcentral
GGGCUGCCCCAUAGCGUGCUGUGCUCCACAGCGACAUGUGGGCUGCCCCAUAGAGUGCCCCAUAGCGAUGUGUGGGACUGCCCCAUAGCGUGCUCUGCCCCAUAGCGACGUGUGGGGCUGCCCCAUAGAGCCCUGUGCCCCAUAGCGACGUGUGGGGCUGCCCCAUAGCGUGCCUGCCCUGUAGCAAUGUGUGGGGCUGCCCCAUAGAGCGCUCUGCCCCAUAGUGACAUGUGGGGCUGCCCAUAGAGUGCCCCAUAGAGCGCUGUGCCCCAUAGCCACGUGUGGGGCUGCCCCAUGGAGCGCUGUGCCCCAUAGCGACGUGUGGGGCUGCCCCAUAGCGUGCUCUGCCCCAUAGCGACGUGUGGGGCUGCCCCAUAGAGUGCUAUGCCCCACAGCGAUGUGUGGCGCUGCCCCAUAGAGCGCUGUGCCCUAUAGCGACGUGUGGGACUGCCCCAUAGCAUGCUCUGCCCCAUAGCCAUUUGCUGGGCUGCCCCAUAGCGAUGUGUGGGGCUGCCCAUAGAGCGCUGUGCCCCCGUAACGAUGUGUGGGGCUGCCCCAUAGAGUGCUCUGCCCCAUAGAGCGCUGUGCCCCACAGCGACGUGUGGGGCUGCCCCAUAGUGUGCUCUGCCCCAUAGUGUGCUCUGCCCCAUAGUGUGCUCUGCCCCAUAGGGUGCUCUGCCCCAUAGGGUGCUGUGCCCCAUAGCGACGUGUGGGGCUGCCCCAUAGGGUGCUGUGCCCCAUAGCGACGUGUGGGGCUGCCCCAUAGGGUGCUGUGCCCCACAGCGACAUGUGGGGCUGCCCCAUAGAGUGCCCCAUAGCGAUGUGUGGGACUGCCCCAUAGCGUGCUCUGCCCCAUAACGAUGUGUGGGGCUGCCCCAUAGCGUGCUGUGCCCCAUAGCGACGUAUGGGGCUGCCCCAUAGAGCGCUGUGCCCCACAGCGCCCCACAACAUUCAAUGGAUCCCCAAAAUAAAGGCGUUUCUCCCUCUCAAA